AUUGAACGCUGGCGGCAUGCUCUACACAUGCAAGUCGAACGGUAACAGGCCGCAAGGUGCUGACGAGUGGCGAACGGGUGAGUGAUGCAUCGGAACGUGCCCAGUCGUGGGGGAUAACUACUCGAAAGAGUAGCUAAUACCGCAUACGAUCUAUGGAUGAAAGCGGGGGACCGUAAGGCCUCGCGCGAUUGGAGCGGCCGAUGUCAGAUUAGGUAGUUGGUGGGGUAAAGGCUCACCAAGCCAACGAUCUGUAGCUGGUCUGAGAGGACGACCAGCCACACUGGGACUGAGACACGGCCCAGACUCCUACGGGAGGCAGCAGUGGGGAAUUUUGGACAAUGGGCGCAAGCCUGAUCCAGCAAUGCCGCGUGCAGGAAGAAGGCCUUCGGGUUGUAAACUGCUUUUGUACGGAACGAAACGGCUCUGGUUAAUACCCGGGGCUAAUGACGGUACCGUAAGAAUAAGCACCGGCUAACUACGUG
RNAcentral lists this ribosomal RNA (482 nucleotides) under uncultured bacterium. RNAcentral's name for it is "partial 16S ribosomal RNA". It matches the Rfam family "Bacterial small subunit ribosomal RNA", at positions 30 to 507 of the family's 1533-position model. The record is from RNAcentral.